CGCCUUGCCAGCCCGCUCAGAACUCAAAGGAAUUGACGGGGGCCCGCACAAGCGGUGGAGCAUGUGGUUUAAUUCGAUGAUACGCGAGGAACCUUACCUGGGCUCAAAUGUAUGUUGACGUAUUCUGAAAGGGAUACUUCUUCGGACAAUAUACAAGGUGCUGCAUGGUUGUCGUCAGCUCGUGCCGUGAGGUGUCGGGUUAAGUCCCAUAACGAGCGCAACCCCUAUCAUUAGUUGCCAUCAGGUCAAGCUGGGGACUCUAAUGAAACUGCCUACGCAAGUAGUGAGGAAGGUGGGGAUGACGUCAAAUCAGCACGGCCUUUACGGCCUGGGCUACACACGUGCUACAAUGGUCGGUACAAAGGGUUGCCAAGCCGCGAGGUGGAGCUAAUCCCAUAAAACCGAUCGUAGUCCGGAUCGCAGUCUGCAACUCGACUGCGUGAAGUCGGAAUCGCUAGUAAUCGUGAAUCAGAAUGUCACGGUGAAUACGUUCCCGGGCCUU
Molecule: ribosomal RNA, 502 nt
Filed under: uncultured Sphingobacteriales bacterium
Lineage: Bacteria; Pseudomonadati; Bacteroidota; Sphingobacteriia; Sphingobacteriales
Description: bacterial SSU rRNA
Rfam family: Bacterial small subunit ribosomal RNA
Source: RNAcentral